GUAAUCCACUGGGGUACGCUUCCGCGCUGUGGAGAGUAUGUUCUUUUGCUCUUCACAGUAAAUCUUGCUAAUGCUCACUUUUUGGGUCCACACUACUUUUAUGAACUGUAACACUCACUGCGAAGGUCUUUAGCUUAACUCCUGAAGCCAGCAAGACCACGAAUCCUCUGGGAGGCAUGAACAACUCCUGACCCGCCACCUUAAAGAGCUGUAACACUCACUGUGAAGGUCUGCGGCUUCACUCCUGAAGUCAGCGAGACCACGAACGCACCAGAAGGAAGAAACUCCCCACACAUGUGAACAUCUGAAGGAACAAACUCCCGACACUCCAUCUUCAAGAACUGUAACACUCACCGUGAGGGUCUGCAGCUUCAUUCUUGAAGUCAGCAAGACCAAGAACCCACCAGAAGAAACCAAUUCCGGCCACAGUGUCUCCUUGGCUUACUGUGGAAAAACUCAAGGGGAGAUUAUUCUCUGAAAAAUCUUACCAGGAGGUGAAAAUCUGACAGCUCAAAAUGAAGCAAAAACCCAAGAUUAAAACAGACACCAUUUUGUGCCCACUCAGUCUUCUUUCCAGGGUCAUACAUGUGUUGUCUGCAUACCUCAUUCUUCCUGGAUACGGGACAAGAACUCAGUACCCACUAAAUGGCAAGACUAAAACAGCUGUAACACAAACAGUACUGAAACACACCCACCCGUUUGCCAUUUUGUGGGUGACGAAAAGGAGAGAAGUCCUGCAGCCUAUGUCUGGGAACCCAGACCUCAGGGCUCUUUAAGCCAGGACUGUGACAUGCUGUAACAACCUCUUUGAGGCUCUGCAGUUUCUGGGAUCUCCAAGAUUUCGGGCGCCACUGCAUUCCCCUUGUCCAGAUGUUGGUGCCCACAGCAGAAGUCACCUGCAGUACAUCUGGUACAGCUGCAGCCUUGCAUGGAGUUGGCACCUGUGCCAGCACCUGGAGCUGCCUGUCCAUCACAGCUGGCAUGCCUGGCUGUGCACAGUGGCCAGGCCCCACGCUUACCUGCUCACACACCCCUCACUGCUUCAUGCCUAGCUCACACUUGGCAGGUGUGGGAUCCAGGCUGGUAGCAGGAGCUGAGUGCAUCAUGCUAGGCUGAUUGGACAGAACAAGCCCAGUAGGCCUGAGCAAAACUUGGGCAAAGACGCCACCGGCCAUAGAGGUUUCUGGCUGGAAACCAGUGAC
RNAcentral lists this long non-coding RNA (1202 nucleotides) under Homo sapiens (human). RNAcentral describes it as "HSALNT0209014". The record is from RNAcentral. Lineage: Eukaryota; Metazoa; Chordata; Mammalia; Primates; Hominidae.